Molecule: non-coding RNA, 2877 nt
Organism: Punica granatum (pomegranate)
Lineage: Eukaryota; Viridiplantae; Streptophyta; Magnoliopsida; Myrtales; Lythraceae
Source: RefSeq, a predicted model, not a curated record
CUCCUUCGACGGCUGCCUCCUCAGUUUUAUCUUUCUUUCUUUCUCAACAGAGAGAAAUGUUCUCAAAGACGACUUAGAGCAAACGAGACGGAGAGACAACCUCGAGCCCUCAACCACUCCAAGCGCCACAGUGAUCCCACCCCGACGCGAUGUAGUGAUCCCAUAUCUCUUUGUGCGACACCGACACGGCCCCGAUCGGAAGGGUCGUGGACACCGAAGGUCGUGCGAACCCUUUAAACUAACAGCUAAAACUUAGAACUCGUCAAGCUCGAGUUCGACUCCUACCCUUUUCUCGCUCCACCAGCUCUCCGUGGAGUCUCCACCAGCUAAUUGAACAUUGGGGAUUGAUGAGAUGAUGGCCCUUACUGAUUCGAAGCCCUUGGUUAUGAACUACAGAGAAGGAAGUGACGAGGGCUCGAAGGAGUUGCAUAGAUCAGAGAUGGGGAAUAAUGAGUUCAUAAAAUAAUUUGGAGGUGAAGUUGGAAUCCUCUGGGAAAGAAAAAACCAUGGCCAUGAUAAACAAAGAUGAUGAUGUAGGAUAGCUCGAUGGAGACGAGAUCAAAGAUACUAUAAUAGGAACUCACGAAAGGACAUUGAAAGGCAAGCAAAAAAGAAGACUGAUCUCCUGUGUGGCACUUCUAUGAACGGUUGACAGAAAAGAUCAUUGAUGGUAAGACCCGUUGUAAGUGCAAGAAGUGUGGCUCGCUUUUUAUUUGUGAUAGUCAAUAUGGGACAAGAAAUCUGAAAAGGCAUAAUGAAAGAUGCAUUCAUAAGGAUACACGAGAUGUUGAUUAGCUGUUCAUGAACCAUGAUAUUUCUAUAAGAAAUGCUACAUGAUCCUAAACGCUUUCAUGAGUUGUUAAUUGCUGCCAUUAUUAUGCAUGAUUUACUUCUUGUCUUUGUGGAUUAUGUUGGAAUUAGAGUAGUAUUCUUAUAUUUGCGUGAGUGUGUGCCCGUUAAAUCUCGAAACACUGCAAAGGUUGAUGUGUUGAAGGUUUACAAAAAAGAGAAGUCACGGGUUAAGUGCUUGCUUGAGGAAGCUAGUGGUAGGAUUUGUUUGACAUUUGAUUCGCAGACCUCUAUUUCUACUGAUGUGUAUCUCUCUUUGACCGGACAUUUCACUGAUAAAAAUUGGAUUUUGCAAAAAAGGAUUCUGAAUUUCUUCUUGAUGCCACCUUCAUAUACUGGUGUGGCAUUGAGCAACACGAUUACCUUUUUGUUGGCUGAGUGGGGUAUUGAGGGAAGGUUGUUUUACUUUGGAUAAUGCUCCGCAAAUGACACUUUCAUGGGCUUGUUGAGAUCGCAUUUAAAUAUGAAGGAUGCACUCCUAGCCAAAGGUGAAUUCUUUCAUGAACGAUGUUGUACCCAUAUCAUUAAUUUGAUUGUGCAAGAUGGACUAAAAGAGAUUGAUGUUGUGGUAAACAAAGUGCGAGAGAGUGUCGAGUAUAUUAAAGGUUCUCAAGUUAGAAAAAAAAGUUUCUUGAAUGUGCGAAACUCUUAUCUUUGAAUCAGAAAAAAGGCUUGAGACAAGAUGUCCCUACUCAUUGAAAUUCAACUUUUCUUAUGCUUGAAAGUGCAUUCUACUAUCGUCGUGCAUUUCGCCACCUAGAGAUAAGUGACUCUUAUUAUACAAAUUGCCCUACCUCAUUAGAGUGAGAGAAAAUUGAGAAAAUAAAAAAGCUCUUAGGGGUUUUCUAUGAGAUUAUGAACUUGUUUUCUUGAAGUAAGUAUCCAACCGCAAAUUUAUACUUUCCUUCCACUUUCAAAACAUAUGUGAUGCUCAAGGAUAAUAGUGACGGGACAGAUGAAGAUUUGAGAGUAAUGUCGUUGAGGAUGCUAAUGAAAUUUUAAAAGUACUGGUCUGAAUUUUUAGUCAUUUUAUCGAUAGCGGUGCUAUUGGACUUUAGGUAUAAAAUUCAAUUGUGGAUUAGAGUUACAAAAAGUUGUAUGAAGAAUAUACAUCAUAUGAGAGGGGGAAUCGAAUAUUUCCAUCAAAAGAGAAGUUCCUCCUAGAUCCUGAUCAAAAGUCAAUUGAGCUAGAUAUGCUAGAGUAGUUCAAUGAUUACGAUGAUGAUGAGUAUUCAACAUCUUCGAAAAAGUCUGAGUUGGAAAAGCACUUAGAUGAGACAAGGAUCGAUAGAAAGAUGGACGGACCCGGACAUUUUUUAUUACUGGAAGAUUAACUCCUAACGAUAUCCAAGAGUUGCAAGGAUAGCUCGUGAUAUUUUGAGUAUUCCCCGAUCCACGGUUACCUCCGAGGCAGCAUUUAGCUGUGAAGGUCAUGUUCUUGAUCAAUAUCGGAGUUCUUUGAAACCCGACCUUGUGGAAGCACUCAUGCGCUCUCGAGAUUGGCUUUAUCGAUUAACUGAUGGUUAUGGAAUUUCCAUGGAUCAGCUCACUGAAGAUGUGAUGAACUUACAUAUUAUCGAUGAGCCAUCAACUCAGGGGUCCAAUGCUGUGGUUAAUUAAAAAUUAGUAAUGCUUUUAAAAAGCUAAUAUUUCUUUAUCAUGUGAGUGUUACUGAAGUAUCUUUCACAUGUUUGGUCGCAAAGGAUUCUGUUAUCUUAGGUUCCAUUGAAGAUGGCACAUGGAGCUAGGCUUUUUCUUUGGCUGGAUGAGGGCCCGAUGUUUUGCUAAUUUAACUAUUGUCUUUUGUUAUUGAAUGAUGAAAUUAUGGCGAAGUUCAUCAAGUUUGGUUUCUCAUUUUGUUACUCUUAGACUGUUAUUAACCGUGUUAAGUUAGCUUGGAAAAAGAUUAUGAGCUUGCUUAAUAUUUGCAUUAAUUGUCAUUAACAAUGAGCUUGCUUUUUCAAAGCGAUGAGAUGCAUGAUCUACAUGUCUGUGGAGUUGUAAUAAAAGGUAGCUUACAGUUACAGA